RNAcentral lists this unclassified non-coding RNA (314 nucleotides) under fungal sp. RNAcentral describes it as "partial internal transcribed spacer region". The stretch from base 1 to 46 matches the Rfam family "Eukaryotic small subunit ribosomal RNA", at positions 1786 to 1831 of the family's 1831-position model. The record is from RNAcentral. Lineage: Eukaryota; Fungi.
AAGUCGUAACAAGGUCUCCGUAGGUGAACCUGCGGAGGGAUCAUUAACACUAUCAAACAAAGUAGAUUGAUGGCUGCAAAGUCAACUUUCUCACUUUUGUUAUGCCAACUCGUGAACGAAACAUUAUGUAUCUCUUGCUUAGCUUUGUAAUAUAAGCUAAGUUAUGUUUUUAUUGUAUUUUCUUUAUACAAACUAAUAUCUUCAACAGUAUAACUUGUACCACAUAGAAUGCAUUCUUAGAGUGUAUUUUUAUGGUGUGUUACUUUUAGUUAACAAAAUAAGCACAACUCUUAGCAACGGAUAUCUCGGUUCUC